RNAcentral lists this transfer RNA (20 nucleotides) under Micrococcus luteus. Its description in RNAcentral is "tRNA-Ala". The record is from RNAcentral. Lineage: Bacteria; Bacillati; Actinomycetota; Actinomycetes; Micrococcales; Micrococcaceae.
CCCGUCGUUCGGGACGACGA